UCAAGGGGCAAGAGACAGCUGCUGAAGUUCAAAGACAGAUCGCAAGGACGCCGGAGGGCUGAGCGAGCGGCCGGACCCCGCAGCGCCCGGAACGCACAGCCCAGCGUGCGGCACCGGGGCGGCGACCGUGCGUGCCCCCACGCCCACUCCCGACGCGCGAGGCUCAGCCGGCCACGAGACACAGCCCGGAGUCCCGGCAACGAGGACCGGGGAGGGAGCGCAAGACCCAAGACCUCCGCCCCUCCAGCGGGCUCAGGCUCACCCGAGAGAAAACACGGAAGAGUUGGAAAUCCACACGAGGGCUGGACUCCAGGGGAGGAAACCCGCCGCCGCCGCCGGAGUACGAGCCGCUAAUAUGGCCCCCGCGCGUGCGCAGAGCCGCCCGGGGGCGGGGCGGCCGGGGACGCGGAAGCGGUCCUGGGCGGGGCGAGCACGGGGCGCCCAAUGGGAGCUGCGGGGCGGGGUUAUCCCCGGGAGGGCGUGGCCCGGCGCAGGGGCGGAGCUGAGGACUCUGGCCGGGGCGGGAGGUGGCCUGAGCGCUGGGUUCCGUUUCCUAUGGUUUCGUCUCUACCUCGGCUUGCGUCCCGGCUGGUCACAGGCCCGGGGGAGGGACAGCGGGCGCCCGCCUGUGGCUCUCGUUCCUGCCCGGGGCCCCAGGGCGGUCCCCGCCGCUUCGGACCGCACCUUGCCUCCAGCCGCCUCCCAGCGUUCUCACUUGGAAAGGAUCUCCUGGAAGUGCCCAGCUCGCCUUCCCGCCCUUUCCGCCCACCUUCAGCCGCCGACUGCACCCGGUCAGGGGUCCGCAGGCUGGAAGGGGGACCAGAGCUGGGUUAACAACGUCAUUCGCUCCCAGUCGCCCCCUAGGAGCAGCCGGCCGGGUAGCGUCUUUUAUGUAGGGUGCAACAUUGUUGGAUCUGGGUAGGUUUUGAAAGGCAGGUAGCUUAGAAAUGAGCUGUUUGGGCCGCUAGUCCUCUCUGUGUGGUCCACACAGCGUCCGGGUCCCAGGGGGACCUUGUACAGCCCGCCCUCGGGCUCAUUCACUGGGUAGUCACAGGCUCACCCAGACUCAAGGCGCAGAGCCUGUCGGUGGGAAACAGCAGUGGCACGUGACAGCGGAACCCGUGGGAGGGGAGAUGUCGGGGUCUCAUCAUCCCACACAUCGCUGCCGUCACGUCUUCCCACUGCGACAGGAAACAGUCUACCGCUGAAGGCACCCUGCAUCGAGGCCUCCCUCGGUCAGUCCCUGCAGGAAGGGCCCUUGGAAGUUCGUGGGAAACACCUGUUAGGAAAGGGCUGCGGAUGGAUUUCAAAGUGUGCACCUCCCGCGAUCUUCCUGAAGUUCUGUGGUCCCCGCGGUUCAGCCACUGUCACCUACUGGGUCACCCACAGUCAUUACUCGGCCUUCCCUCUUUAAUCUCACUUUUAACUGAGAAAUCUCACUGAAAAACUCUGAAUUCUGUGGGGUAAACCUAGGCGGCGGCGGGGCCCUGGGUCUGGGCGAGGCCCUCUGCCACUCUGUGUGUGUUCACCCCUGUGUGCCUGGGAGCAGAGAUGCGGGGGGAGACCCCAAAACCCAACUCAGCUAUUGGGUUCUGUUGCACAGUAGGGUGACUGCCCAUAAGGUAAUGUGCUGUGCAUGUCUCUUUAACCUGGAAGACGGGAUUUGGGUUUGGUGAUUGGACUACCGAAAACAUCACAUCACACCCCAUAAAUGUGUACAAUUUUUGUAUGUCGAGAUUUUUAAUUAAAAUAAAUUUUUUUCUAAACAGUUCAUUUUUUUUUUUUUUUGGACAGGUAGAGUGGACAGUAAGAGAGAGAGAGACAGAAAGGUCUUCCUUUGCCGUUGGUUCACCCUCCAAUGGCCACUGCGGCUGGCGCACCGCACUGAUCUGAAGGCAGGAGCCAGGUGCUUCUCCUGGUCUCCCAUGGGGUGCAGGGCCCAAGCACUAGGGCCAUCCUCCACUGCACUCCCGGGCCACAGCAGAGAGCUGGCCUGGAAGAGGGGCAACUGGGACAGAAUCCGGCGCCCCGACCGGGACUAGAACCCGGUGUGCCGGCACCGCAAGGCGGAGGAUUAGCCUGGUGAGCCGCGGCGCCGGCAUUACAAGGUUUUAUUACAGGAAUUGGCUCAUGUGACUGUGUGGCUCAGCCUGAGCCUGAGGCCUGGUGAGGACCUAGGGAGAGAGCGGGGCGGGGGAUUGCGAGGGUCGGGCCUGGAGCCCGAAGGCCAGGAACCUGGAGCUGCGACGUGUGAGCCAGGAGAGGAUGGGUGCCUCGCCAACUUGUCUUUUCUCUGCGUGUUUUCUGUCUGGCCCCUCAGCAACUGCAGGAUGCCCACCCACCUCGGUGAGGAUGGGUCGUCUUCAGGAAGCCCUGCAGACAUACCAGGAACAAUGUGUCUGUGUCCGCUGUCUGGGUAUCCCUUAACCCACUCACAUCAGCAACCUAAAAUUAACCAUCAGAGGCACCAAAGCGUUUGUGGAACACACGGAACUGAUGGGUCGGAGGUAAGCUAGACCAAAACCGAACCGGAGACAUCAGUGCAAGGCAGCAUAUAGAAAAACUGAAACGGCGAUCGGCAGGAUCUGCAUUGCAGACUCACUGACGGGGAAUCCACGUUAGCAAACGCAAUCCCGAAGGGACUCUAAGAGUUUCAUCACGGGAGUGGUCCGGGAGUAAAACCCAAGGCUCAGUCCAUUCUUCUGAUCCUCAGUUUCCUGAAUGACCAAGCUAGACUGCAAGCCAUCAUCUGGGGUGGGCGUCAGGCCUCGUGUCUAAGCCAGCUGCGUCGCAUCUCUGAGCACCUCUAGUGCCUGCGGCUCCUGACCCCAGCUUCCUGCCAACUCAGGCCUUGGGAGGCAGCAGGUGAUGCUAUACGUGGUUGAGUCCCGCCAUCCACGCGGGACACCUGGCUCGUGGCUUUAGCCUGGCUCAGCCCUAACCAUUGUGAGCAUUUGGGGGUUGAACCAGAGAAUGGCAGCUGUCUUGUCUCUCGGUGAAACAAAAAUAAAAACCACAAAAUCCUUUAA
Molecule: non-coding RNA, 3029 nt
Organism: Oryctolagus cuniculus (rabbit)
Lineage: Eukaryota; Metazoa; Chordata; Mammalia; Lagomorpha; Leporidae
Source: RefSeq, a predicted model, not a curated record